GCCGGAGGUUACUAGCUUUUAGGUGUUCGACUAAGCCAUGCAAGUCAUAUGUUCCUCGUGAACAUGGCAUACUGCUCAGUAACACGUGGAUAACCUGCCCUUGGGUCUGGGAUAACCCCGGGAAACUGGGGAUAAUACCGGAUAACGCAUAUGUGCUGGAAUGCUUUAUGCGUAAAACGGAUUCGUCCGCCCAAGGAUGGGUCUGCGGCCUAUCAGGUAGUAGUGGGUGUAGUGUACCUACUAGCCAACAACGGGUACGGGUUGUGAGAGCAAGAGCCCGGAGAUGGAUUCUGAGACAUGAAUCCAGGCCCUACGGGGCGCAGCAGGCGCGAAAACUUUACAAUGCGGGAAACCGUGAUAAGGGAACACCGAGUGCCAACAUCAUAUGCUGGCUGUCCAGAUGUGUAAACUACAUCUGUUAGCAAGGGCCGGGCAAGACCGGUGCCAGCCGCCGCGGUAACACCGGCGGCCCGAGUGGUGACCGUUAUUAUUGGGUCUAAAGGGCCCGUAGCCGGUUUGGUCAAUCCUCCGGGAAAUCUGAUAGUUUAACUGUUAUGCUUUCGGGGGAUACU
RNAcentral lists this ribosomal RNA (572 nucleotides) under uncultured archaeon. RNAcentral's name for it is "bacterial SSU rRNA". It matches the Rfam family "Archaeal small subunit ribosomal RNA", at positions 16 to 585 of the family's 1478-position model. The record is from RNAcentral.